AUGGUUGUACUAACCAGCAGCCCGCCACCGGUCCUCCUCCCAUCCAGUCCACCACCAGUCCUCCUCCUCCUCCCAUCCAGUCCACCACCAGUCCUCCUCCUCCUCCCAUCCAGUCCACCACCAGUCCUCCUCCUCCUCCCAUCCAGUCCACCACCAGUCCUCCUCCUCCUCCCCAUCCAGUCCACCACCAGUCCUCCUCCUCCUCCCAUCCAGUCCACCACCAGUCCUCCUCCUCCUCCCAUCCAGUCCACCACCAGUCCUCCUCCUCCUCCCAUCCAGUCCAUCACCAGUCCUCCUCCCAUCCAGUCCACCACCAGUCCUCCUCCUCCUCCCAUCCAGUCCACCACCAGUCCUCCUCCUCCUCCCAUCCAGUCCACCACCAGUCCUCCUCCUCCUCCCAUCCAGUCCACCACCAGUCCUCCUCCUCCUCCCAUCCAGUCCAUCACCAGUCCUCCUCCCAUCCAGUCCAUCACCAGUCCUCCUCCCAUCCAGUCCAUCACCAGUCCUCCUCCCAUCCAGUCCAUCACCAGUCCUCCUCCUCCUCCCAUCCAGUCCAUCACCAGUUGUCCUCCUCCUCCCAUCCAGUCCAUCACCAGUCCUCCUCCUCCUCCCAUCCAGUCCAUCACCAGUCCUCCUCCCAUCCAGUCCAUCACCAGUCCUCCUCCAAUCCAGUCCACCAUCCAGCUCACCACCAGUCCUCCCAUCCUACCCCUCACAGAACCACCUCAGCAGAAACGAAAUAUGUCUGCAAACAAUAAAAAGAAGCAGCAGAAUUCUGCAGCCUCAGACAUGUCUACAAGGAAGAAACUGAGGGGGAAAAAAUCACCCAAAGAAUGUAACCAUGGUAUCCUAGAAGGGGAACCUUACUACCCAGUGAAGAGGGUGAUCCGCUGCAAAAUGCAGAAGGGGAUCCAAAUGAAGUUGGUGGAAUGGGAGCCCUGUUCACUCUGUGGGGAAACUUGGCCGCCACAGUGGGUGACGGAGGAGAACACCACAAAUUAAGG
Molecule: long non-coding RNA, 1004 nt
Filed under: Carassius auratus (goldfish)
Lineage: Eukaryota; Metazoa; Chordata; Actinopteri; Cypriniformes; Cyprinidae
Description: lncRNA (ENSCARG00000003369.1)
Source: RNAcentral